RNAcentral lists this long non-coding RNA (1239 nucleotides) under Zonotrichia albicollis (white-throated sparrow). Its description in RNAcentral is "lncRNA (ENSZALG00000001605.1)". Lineage: Eukaryota; Metazoa; Chordata; Aves; Passeriformes; Passerellidae. The record is from RNAcentral.
GCAGCCUCAGGGGACCCCUGGGAAUGCAAAGCCUGGAUGGGUGCCCCCAGCUUGGGCAGAACAGCAGAACCGCCCCUGGGACAGCAAACCCCCGGAGGUGGCGGGUCCCUCCCUGCUGAAGGGGCUGGGAUGCUCCUGCUGGAGAGCUGUGGGGGUCUGCAGCGUCCUCAUCCCCAGCCGGCAUUCCCAGACCACCCCAGAAGAUGCCCAGCACUGGGUAUCUGCCUGGAAUAAACCUUGUCCCUGCUGUGGUCCUCAUCGAGGGGACCCUGAGAGCUGGUGCCAUGUCCUGCACCCCAAACCCACCAUGGGCAAGCCCUGGUGAUGCCAGGAGUCACGGUGCAUGCUGAGGGAGCAGGUGAGAGGAGGAGAGGAGCUGCCCUCCUCACCUGGUGGGGGAAGAAGGACCAACUGUGCCCUGUCCUGAGGGCUUUGUCCCACUGUCCUUCCAGCUCCAAUGGGGCAAGGAGCAGAAACCUCUCCCGGGCUCUGGAGCGCUCUGCCUUCAUCUCAGCUCAUCUGCCACAUCUGAAAUGUGAUUUCUACCAUCUGGUGCCCAACCCUCCACCCCCAGCAUGGCCCCAGGACCUUGGGGAGGUCAUAACUUCGUCUGUUGAGGUUUCUUUGAAGCCAGCUAAACUUUGCACUCUCAAAGAGAAUGCAAACUACACAUCCUGGGAAGACCAGAAGGAACAUGGAUGGGUUUGUUGUGGACAAGCCAAGAGUGAUCAGACCCACCAAUAUGUCCAGGGAGAAGCUCUCAGCCAGGCACUUGAGUCUUUCAUCAUAUAAUGCAGGGUGUGAGGGAGAAGAGCAGGCAGUGACCACCUCCUUAUCUACCCAGAGCUGGAGGAGAAACACAAGCCCAUGUCUCUCACAGCAAGGCUUGAGUUUGCUCCCAGUUGUAUGCUGUUAGGGAGCUCACACCUCAUUUACUGGGAGAAAAACACAGUGGAGAUGCCCAUGAAUAUGAAAUGAAACAUCUCCAAGAGCUGUAAUGCAGUUUCACCAAAAACACCAGAAAAGAGUGUAAGUUUCUACACAGAGACCUGACAGGAUUCCCUAGCAAGAUAUUAAGAGACACUUGAGUGGCUCUCAUUAAAGGGAGAUUAAUUAAUUGAACAGCAGGGUUGGAUGUAAGAAAUGCAAAACAUGGAGCAACUGAUUUAAGGAUGAGGUUUACUGACCAAAAGAAAAACAGAAAAUAAAUAAGUCAGAGGGCAAUCUAAAUCUUUCCUU